UUUCUAUUCAGGUAUUAGUUAAUCUCUUUAGGAUUGGGAAGGUCUAGAAGAAAGAGAUCUGGCUAUGUUAAUAGAGAUUCUUUACAGACGCAAAUUUUCCCCCAUAAAGAACACCUUCGCAGGGCCAUUCCAAGAAACAUGUUUUGGGAACUAGGGGUUUGCCUGAGGACAGCAAAUGACUCAACUGCUGCAUAUGUGGGGCUCCUCUUGAGCAAGGAAAGAGUCCAAGAUAUUGCCUGUGCUUGGAAUUCAGUGAAAAAGUAAACUAUCAAGGAAGCCAUGGAGGAACUGUAGUCUCGCAUUAUGUUGGCAAAGGUACACUCAGCAGACAAAGUUGGCCUUGGAUAAAACCUGGAAAUGGCGAAGGAUGCAUCUCCUGCAUAUUGUAGCAACUUCAAUAUCAGUAAGAUAGAAGAGCAGGCUGAAGAAAUACAUUGUGUUCAAGAUGCAUAAAUAGACAAUGUUUGGAAAGUCAGUGGAAAAUCAAAGGACACAGAGAAAGGCAGAGAAAAAGAAAAAGGUGGAGUUUU
This is a long non-coding RNA of Pan troglodytes (chimpanzee), 530 nucleotides long. RefSeq lists it as uncharacterized. The record is from RefSeq and is a predicted model, not a curated record. NCBI's taxonomy places the organism in Eukaryota, Metazoa, Chordata, Mammalia, Primates, Hominidae. The transcript has 3 exons.